AGCAGAGCUAGGAGGAGGAUUAUUGAUCAGACUAUCUAGCUGCUUAGCCCCUGGGCAGUGGCCCAAACGGCAACCCUAUAAAGUUCUGCUCAGACGUAGUGCACUAUAUAGGGAAGAGGGUCUAUAGUAGUGCACUGUAUAGGGAAGAGGGUCUAUAGUAGUGCACUGUAUAGGGAAGAGGGUCUAUAGUAGUGCACUGUAAAGGGAAGAGGGUCUAUAGUAGUGCACUGUAUAGGGAAGAGGGUCUAUAGUAGUGCACUGUAUAGGGAAGAGGGUCUAUAGUAG
Long non-coding RNA from Oncorhynchus tshawytscha (Chinook salmon), 285 nucleotides. The record is from Ensembl. Lineage: Eukaryota; Metazoa; Chordata; Actinopteri; Salmoniformes; Salmonidae.